CCGCAGCCGGGCUCGGGCAGGAGGAGCCCGGAGCGGAGCGGCGGAACGGGGAACAGACCGUGCGAGGAAAGCGCCAAACCCCUCUGCGAGAGUUUUGGGAGCAAGGAGGGGUGGGAGGAAUAAAUAGCGAGGAGUUGUGCACCAGGUGGGCUAGAUAAAAACAAAAGGAAGAUGAUGGUUUUCUGGGAGAAGCGACUGAAAAGAGUGACAAUCAGGGCUGUUGGCAGUUAGAUAUGAGUAGGAGGAAGUCAAAAUGAGUAACACCUAACGGAGUGACGAAGCAGAAUUUCCAAAGAAUACAGCUGUGAGAAGCAUCAACACCAGUAACUUGAGGAAUUAUGUAUUUUUUUUCCUACUCUGGCUAGUCAGUGAUUAUGAAAGAGUAAUGAGAAGGCUGAUUUGCAUGAGAAAUACCCUUAGGAUAAUGCAGCAUUUUGUUUCACAAGUUUUUAGGUUCAAUAAUCCUGGUAACGUUGUUUUCCAAUAGCCUUCCCCUGUCCAGCACCUCUGAAUUCUUGACACUGCAAAGCUGUGGAAAUGUGAAAACAUCCUGAAGGACACAGUUCUUCAUGGGCUUUACCUAGGCAGAAGUGAAGUACACGGCAACUGAUGAGCACGGAGCAUCUGUGGCAAAGGAAAAAAACACCGUCUUCAAAUUUUGAGGAGCAAACACGACCCUUUCUUUUUCUACUGUUUUCCACCCACAUUCAGUUAGUGUGAGAGAAAAAAGAAAAUUAAAAAAAAAAAAAAAAACAGAAAUACAGAAAUAUUUUCUUUGCAGGGAAGGACCGAAGAAUGUAUUGUUCUCUCAUUCACAAGCAAGUGCUUUCAUCACCUCUACUUUCAUUUUGCUCUACAUCAUAAGUGACAGCGAGUUUUCUGUAUUUUGCUGGUAUAACUUAGAAGAGGUCACGAUUCUAAAAGUUCUCCUGCAGAACUGAGUCUUCUGUUUGGAUGUAUGCAAAUUCUACAGCACUUAUGCCACUUGUACUUUGCAGAUAGGUAUAAGCGUAUGCAAAAAUGGAGAUUAUAUGUGUACAUGCAAGUUUUCAGAAUUAAUCAACCACGAAUGUACAAAAAAUACAAAUGCUUUGCUGAAAUUUGGCUCAAAAUAGAUUUAUGAAUUAGCCUGCUAUAGCAGCUUUCACUCAAGGUUGCCAAAUACAAUCCAUUUUUAUAAAUAAUUAAAAACUUAUAAGAUUUGCAUGAUGAUGGGGCUUGAAGCAACCUGGUCUAGUAAAAGGUGUCCCUGCCCAUGGGAGUGGCAUUGGAAGGAGAUGGUCUUUAAGGUCUC
Long non-coding RNA from Catharus ustulatus (Swainson's thrush), 1294 nucleotides. RefSeq lists it as uncharacterized. The record is from RefSeq and is a predicted model, not a curated record. The transcript is spliced from 3 exons. Lineage: Eukaryota; Metazoa; Chordata; Aves; Passeriformes; Turdidae.